RNAcentral lists this long non-coding RNA (1418 nucleotides) under Homo sapiens (human). RNAcentral describes it as "novel transcript". Lineage: Eukaryota; Metazoa; Chordata; Mammalia; Primates; Hominidae. The record is from RNAcentral.
GCAACACCCUUAACAACAAGUUUCCUUUGCAACAGGGCCAUAACAUCAACACUCUUGGUAACUGCAUUGGUACCAAAACUUAUCUGUGACAAUAUCUUGAACAUUAAUGCCUUUAAGAGAAAUGCCCUUAAAAAUACCUUUAGCAAGCAUUUCCUUAGCAAACACGCUCCUAGCAACAGAGAGUAAGUUUUGUAAGGGCAUGUGAAUACGAAGGCAGAGACUGGAGUGAUGCCAAGAAAUGUGAAAGAUUUCCAGGAGCCAUCAGAAGCAAGGAAAAACGCAUGGAAAAGAUUCCGAGUGCUCAGAAGGAAGCAACCCUACCACCACCUGAUUUGGACUUCUAAGCUCCAGAACUAGCCCUGGCUGUGUUCACUGAAUGGAUCUAGUCUCUGAAAAUUCACCGACAUUUUUGGCUUGGCGCUGUGGCUCAUGCCUGUAAUCCCAGCACUUUGGGAGGUUGAGACGGGAAGAUUACGAGGUCAAGAGAUCAAGACUAUCCUGGGCAACAUGAUGAAACGCUGUCUCUACUAAAAACACAAAAAAUUAGCUGGGUGUGGUGGUGCGAGCCUGUAGUCCCAGCUACUCAGGAGGCUGAAGCAGGAGGAUUGCUUGAACCCAGGAGGCGGCGGUUGCAGUGAGCCAAGGUGGCGCCACCACUCUCCAGCCUGGCAACAGAGCGUGACUCCGUCUCAAAAAAAGAAAAAAAAAAAUUUCAGGGAUAUUUAUGUAGUGACCUGUUAUUUAAUUUUUCAAUAAUAUAAAUCUGUUUCAAGAAAAAGAAAUUUUAAAUAAACUCUUAUGAUUUUCUUUCUCCUGAAAAUUAUUCCAGAACUUAAAAAAAAAGAAGAAACAAAACAGAGUAAGUACAUUAGCUUUAUUCAACAUAGCAUCUUGUCUAGUAGUAAACUACUAAAAACAGUCUCCUGAGUGGAAAAAAUAUAAAUUUUUGUCUAUAGCAUCAGCGUUGUCCUGCGUGUUCUCAUUAUUUUCUCCAAAUAAAUUGGCUCAAUAUGCUGCUAAGUAUUACCAUUUAUGUUUAUUUUGAAGUUCUAUAUCUUGUCUUUCCUGUUUCAUCUGUAAACAGGCAAUUAUUGCCUCAGUGUGUAUUCUGAUACAUUUUCUCUCUAAAUCUAUUGUCCAACAUCUUGCAUAUAAAAUCUGGCUUUUCUCUCAUAUAUCAAAAUCACAGGUCACAUAGUCUCAGUGCCAAGAGUUAUAAGAACAACUACUUUAUUUCACUCCCAUCUCUGUGAAUACAAAACUUCAAUCUCUAAAGUAUUUUGUAUCUAUUUAUAACACUAUGUUCCUGGUUUAUUAUUAUAUUAUUUCAUUAUUAGUUCUUAAAAACUUAACAAGGUGCUGAAUAAUUUUGUGAAAUAUUCCAUGGAGAACUACCAUUAAAAUAGUGAUUACUUUAA